GUGCUCACUUUGGCAGCACAUUUACUAAAGCUGGAAUAAUACAAAGAUUAGCAUGGCCCCUGGGCAAGGAUGAUGUGCAAAUUCAUGAAGCAUUUCAUACUUUU
RNAcentral lists this small nuclear RNA (104 nucleotides) under Catagonus wagneri (Chacoan peccary). The record is from RNAcentral. Lineage: Eukaryota; Metazoa; Chordata; Mammalia; Artiodactyla; Tayassuidae.